UAGAUCUACACCCUCACGCCGUUCGUCGCCGACGCCGUUGCUCGCCGCAUCUGUGAGACUCCAUCGCCAUCGCCAUCGCCUUAACAAGUCCCAAGUCCCAAGGCCCAAAUUGAAGCUGCUCUCUGCCUCUCCGGCCUCCGCCAGUCCGCCGCGCUCUACGUCUCCUGUCGACUGUGUCCUGCCGUGCUGGUUCAUCGCUGCCGAGUGUCGAAGACGAAGCACCAAGAUCUCACUAGUUCAUCGCUGGUUCAUCACUGCUCAUCUCUGGCUCACUUAGCCUGGAAAGAGCUGUUGCAAUUUGCUGUAAAAGGCUCCAGCCUCUGGGAUUGCAUUUUAAUGGUGGUAUUGAGGUCAUCUUUGCUGGGUCAGGUUA
Long non-coding RNA from Coffea arabica (coffee), 373 nucleotides. RefSeq lists it as uncharacterized. The record is from RefSeq and is a predicted model, not a curated record. NCBI's taxonomy places the organism in Eukaryota, Viridiplantae, Streptophyta, Magnoliopsida, Gentianales, Rubiaceae.